GACGUAGGGCGCGAGCGUUGUCCGGAUUUAUUGGGCGUAAAGAGCUCGUAGGCGGCUUGUCGCGUCGUCUGUGAAAUCCCGUGGCUCAACUGCGGGUCUGCAGUCGAUACGGGCAGGCUAGAGUUCGGUAGGGGAGACUGGAAUUCCUGGUGUAGCGGUGAAAUGCGCAGAUAUCAGGAGGAACACCGGUGGCGAAGGCGGGUCUCUGGGCCGAUAUUGACGCUGAGGAGCGAAAGCGUGGGGAGCGAACAGG
This 253-nucleotide ribosomal RNA is filed under the name uncultured bacterium. RNAcentral describes it as "partial 16S ribosomal RNA". It matches the Rfam family "Bacterial small subunit ribosomal RNA", at positions 524 to 776 of the family's 1533-position model. The record is from RNAcentral.